GAUGAACGCUGGCGGCGUGCCUAAUACAUGCAAGUCGAGCGAACAGACGAGGAGCUUGCUCCUCUGACGUUAGCGGCGGACGGGUGAGUAACACGUGGAUAACCUACCUAUAAGACUGGGAUAACUUCGGGAAACCGGCGCUAAUACCGGAUAAUAUAUUGAACCGCAUGGUUCAAUAGUGAAAGACGGUUUUGCUGUCACUUCUAGAUGGAUCCGCGCCGCAUUAGCUAGUUGGUAAGGUAACGGCUUACCAAGGCAACGAUGCGUAGCCGACCUGAGAGGGGGAUCGGCCACACUGGAACGGAGACACGGUCAAGACUACUACGAGAGGCAGCAGUAGGGAAUGUUACGCAAUGGGCGAAAGCAUGACGGAGCAACGCCGCGUGAGUGAUGAAGGUCUUCGGAUCGUAAAACUCUGUUAUUAGGGAAGAACAAAUGUGUAAGUAACUAUGCACGUAUUGACGGUACCUAAUCAGAAAGCCACGGCUAACUACGUG
RNAcentral lists this ribosomal RNA (497 nucleotides) under uncultured bacterium. RNAcentral's name for it is "partial 16S ribosomal RNA". It matches the Rfam family "Bacterial small subunit ribosomal RNA", at positions 28 to 507 of the family's 1533-position model. The record is from RNAcentral.